Molecule: RNA transcript, 930 nt
Organism: Zea mays
Lineage: Eukaryota; Viridiplantae; Streptophyta; Magnoliopsida; Poales; Poaceae
Gene name: alpha zein pseudogene
Exons: 1
Source: RefSeq, marked validated
GAGACCAACAAGCAACAUAGAAAGUGGAAUACAGUAGCAACAAUAGAGCAACAAUGGCGGCAAAGAUAUUUUCCAUCCUUAUGCUCCUUGCUCUUUCUUCAUGUGUUCCUAACGCGACCAUUUUUCCUCCAUACUCACAAGCUCCUAUAGCUGCCCUUCUUCCUCCAUACCUUCCAUAACUGACCGCUUCAGUAUGUGAAAACCCAGCCCUUCAACCCUAUAGGCUCCAACAAGCAAUCGCAACAAACAACUUACCUUUAUCACACCUGUUCUUUCAACAAUCGCCAGCCCUAUCUUUGGUGCAGUCAUUGGUACAAACCAUCAGGGCACAACAGCUGCAACAACUCGUGCUACCAGUGAUCAGCUAAGUAGCUCUAGCAAACCUUUCUCCCUACUCUCAGCAACAACAAUUUCUUCCAUUCAACCAACUGUCUACACUGAACCCUGCUGCUUAUUUGCAGCAACAACAACUACUACCAUUCAGCCAGCUAGCUACUGCCUACUCUCAGCAGCAACAAUUUCUUCCAUUUAACCAAUUGGCCGCACUGAACCCCUCUGCUUAUUUCCAGCAGCAAAUACUACUACCAUUUGGCCAGCUAGCUACAACAAGCCCCGCUUCCUUCUUGACACAACAACAAGUGCUUCCGUUCUACCAGCAGUUUGUGGCUAACCCCGCAACCCUCUUACAACUGCAACAGUUGCUGCCCUUUGUCCAACUUGCUUUGACAAACCCAGCAGCCUUCUACCAACAACACAUCAUUGGCGGUGCCCUCUUUUAGAUUGCUUAUUAGUUGUAAUUCAAUAAUGAAGUUUUUUGGCUGAUGUAUGUGGCCUCCUAGAAAUAAGAAGUUAUAUUUCCAAAUUCUAAUGUGCUAUUGGUCUGCAAGGGUGUUCGAUAAUUAUUUUCCCUAAGAUUGGGAAGCAAGCUAU